CGUAGGUGGCAAGCGUUAUCCGGAUUUACUGGGCGUAAAGGGUGUGCAGGCGGGGGUUCAAGUGGUGUAUGAAAUCACCCAGCUCAACUGGGUGCGGUUAUGCCAGACUGGACUUCUAGAGGACGAGAGAGGGGCGUGGAAUUGACGGUGUAGCGGUGAAAUGCUUAGAUAUCGUCAAGAACACCGAUAGCGAAGGCAGCUUACUAGACUGUAACUGACGCUGAUGCACGAAAGUGUGGGGAUCAAACAGGAUUAGAUACCCUGGUAGUCCACACUGUAAACGAUGAUUACUCGAUGUUGGCGAUACACAGCCAGCGUCUUAGCAAAAGCGAUAAGUAAUCCACCUGGGGAGUACGCCGGCAACGGUG
This 368-nucleotide ribosomal RNA is filed under the name uncultured organism. Its description in RNAcentral is "bacterial SSU rRNA". It matches the Rfam family "Bacterial small subunit ribosomal RNA", at positions 526 to 896 of the family's 1533-position model. The record is from RNAcentral.